AGAGUUUGAUCCUGGCUCAGAAUCAACGCUGGCGGCGUGCCUAACACAUGCAAGUCGAACGAGAAAGUGGAGCAAUCCAUGAGUAAAGUGGCGACCGGGUGAGUAACACGUGACUAACCUACCUCCGAGUGGGGAAUAACUCCGGGAAACCGGGGCUAAUACCGCAUAACAUCGCAAGAUCAAAGCAGCAAUGCGCUUGGAGAGGGGGUCGCGGCUGAUUAGCUAGUUGGCGGGGUAACGGCCCACCAAGGCGAAGAUCGGUAUCCGGCCUGAGAGGGCGCACGGACACACUGGAACUGAAACACGGUCCAGACUCCUACGGGAGGCAGCAGUGGGGAAUUUUGCGCAAUGGGGGAAACCCUGACGCAGCAACGCCGCGUGGAGGAUGAAGCCCCUUGGGGCGUAAACUCCUUUCGACCAAGACGAUAAUGACGGUACUGGUGGAAGAAGCACCGGCUAACUCUGUGCCAGCAGCCGCGGUAAUACAGAGGGUGCGAGCGUUGUUCGGAAUUAUUGGGCGUAAAGGGCGCGUAGGCGGUGCCACAGGUCACCUGUGAAAUCCCCGGGCUUAACUCGGGGCCUGCAGGCGAAACUGUGGUGCUGGAGUAUGGGAGAGGUGCGUGGAAUUCCCGGUGUAGCGGUGAAAUGCGUAGAUAUCGGGAGGAACACCUGUGGCGAAAGCGGCGCACUGGACCAUAACUGACGCUGAGGCGCGAAAGCUAGGGGAGCAAACAGGAUUAGAUACCCUGGUAGUCCUAGCCCUAAACGAUGAUUGCUUGGUGUAGCAGGUACCCAAUCCUGCUGUGCCGCAGCUAACGCGAUAAGCAAUCCGCCUGGGGAGUACGGUCGCAAGGCUGAACUCAAGGAAUUGACGGGGGCCCGCACAAGCGGUGGAGCAUGUGGUUCAAUUCGACGCAACGCGAGACCUUACCUGGCUCGAGCGCAGUGGACCGGGUGGAAACAUCCCUUUUCGCAGACUGCUGCGAGUGCUGCAUGGCUG
This 1000-nucleotide ribosomal RNA is filed under the name uncultured bacterium. RNAcentral describes it as "bacterial SSU rRNA". It matches the Rfam family "Bacterial small subunit ribosomal RNA", at positions 8 to 1051 of the family's 1533-position model. The record is from RNAcentral.